Long non-coding RNA from Labrus mixtus (cuckoo wrasse), 1489 nucleotides. RefSeq lists it as uncharacterized. The transcript is spliced from 2 exons. The record is from RefSeq and is a predicted model, not a curated record. Lineage: Eukaryota; Metazoa; Chordata; Actinopteri; Labriformes; Labridae.
UACCUCCAGAAGGUCGUCGACUGUGGAAUUGGUAAGAAAACUCGACAAAUACCACCAAGUGUGUAGAUUUAUGAAGUUUAAUAAGGUUGUUGUAAAGUGUAGCUUAAUAACAUACCGCCUUUCUGUUUUCUGCAUGAAUACGAUACAGUAGAGAAUAAACUCUGAAGAUGUUUUAUUCCUCGACUCACUUUUAAAACCUUGCAACUUGAAAUAUUUGUCUCGUUUAUGGAAAUAUAAAUUGUCUCUGGAUGGAUUUUAAGCUGAAUUUAACACAGUGACAUGUGGGUGUAGCUCGAACUUGUUCUCCCUCAAAAUGAUUAAUUUUGCAAUGUUGCUCAAACAGCAUCAUUAAAGUAAGACUAUUUUUUUUAAAUUGGAUUUGGUUGUUGGCUAUUUCUUUAGUUUACCAUAUCGUCCACAUUUAGUUAACUCGCCACACGAGACUGCAAAACCUUGGGCCCAUGAACACGUGGUUAGCCUAACGCGUUAGCCGUCGGUGUCGUGAACCAGGCUACCGACAAGACAACAAUAAAGCUGUAGUUGCUGUAGAUUCAUCGUAAGACAAGUCCGGUGUUUAUGAUCUGUCCUCUCCCCUGAUGACUUGCACUGGGCUCUGACUUUUUUUGUGUGGAGACAACGUGCACCUUUGGCCCUGACAAGCCAGAGUAUCUGAGGAGAAAACUAGUGCAGUGGUUUUACCAUGUGGUUGCCUUGACAACACAUUAACGUAACGUUUCGUCCUUUUCAGGUGACGCAGAAGAAGUGAAACAUCCGUGACUGAAUUGGUUAAACAGGUAUGUUUUGGACUUGUGCAUCCUUUAGAAUCAAAUUUAUAAUCUAACAGCAACUCAGACCUUUUCACCUUUUUUUUUUUUUUAAAGUGAACACCUUCUAAUAAAAAAAAAAAAAUAUUUAGGAGUUAAAUGUGUACCUAUAAUGCAUAACCAAAACAAGAGGUUUUAAACUCAAAGAUGUGGAUCUGGAGGUUAGGUCAUACUAGCACUUGAGACACUGACUUUUAAGCUUACAUUUGGGCAAACGUGGAAAUUUUGUAUGAAUCAGAUAUUUCAUGUUGCAGCAAUCCAGUGACGCACAUGGCCACAAUGACUACCAUCAAUCUCUUAAUGUGGUAGUGUACACAGCCUCCCGCACUCUCCCCUGAUGACUUGCACUGGGCUCUGACUGUGAGUGGAGAUAAACGUGCACCUUUGGCCCUGACAAGCCAGAGUUUCUGAGGAGAAGUUGAGCCGUUCGUUCGUUCGCUGUUGGUGCUGAUCUGACACCGACAUGAUGAAAGAUGCUGAUGAAACAUGAGACUUUAAAGACAUUAAAAUCUUUUUUGUGUUUUUUUUUUAAAGGUGUUUGGGGGAAGUGAAGCAACUCCUGGACUUGAAAAGGUAACGGUGCUUCGACAGACGAAAUCUACGUUAUAUCAUGCUAUGUUUCUGUGUUAUCUCUGAAUAAUCAAUAAAGUAAUUUAUUUCCUAUA